UGCAGUCGAACGUGAAAGCACUUCGGUGUGAGUAGAGUGGCGGACGGGUGAGUAACGCGUGGGAAUCUACCCAGUAGUGGGGGACAACUACCGGAAACGGUAGCUAAUACCGCAUACGCCCUAUGGGGGAAAGGCUUCGGCCGCUAUUGGAUGAGCCCGCGUCAGAUUAGCUAGUUGGUAGGGUAAAGGCCUACCAAGGCAACGAUCUGUAGCUGGUCUGAGAGGACGAACAGCCACACUGGGACUGAGACACGGCCCAGACUCCUACGGGAGGCAGCAGUGGGGAAUAUUGGACAAUGGGCGAAAGCCUGAUCCAGCAAUGCCGCGUGUGUGAAGAAGGCCUGCGGGUUGUAAAGCACUUUCAGUUGGGAAGAUGAUGACGUUACCAACAGAAGAAGCACCGGCUAAAUCCGUGCCAGCAGCCGCGGUAAUACGGAUGGUGCGAGCGUUAAUCGGAAUUACUGGGCGUAAAGCGCGCGUAGGCGGCUAAGUCAGUC
RNAcentral lists this ribosomal RNA (497 nucleotides) under uncultured Gammaproteobacteria bacterium. Its description in RNAcentral is "bacterial SSU rRNA". It matches the Rfam family "Bacterial small subunit ribosomal RNA", at positions 56 to 589 of the family's 1533-position model. The record is from RNAcentral. Lineage: Bacteria; Pseudomonadati; Pseudomonadota; Gammaproteobacteria.